GUCUAACCCUUCCGCGGUCUGUUUAGCUACGACCAGUGAGAUCAUGGAAGUAGAAGCAGGGUUGCCAUUUUCCCGAAAUUGGGCUACUUAGAAAACAUUUGUCGCGGGUUGCUGGUUUUUGGGCUACUUAGCCAACUUAUGCUUGAUCCGAAAAUGUGGUCGUAGGCGCCGUAUGGAUAGUGUGACGUAAUUUCGGAGCCUCCUGAGGCAUGCAAGAGGCCAAAUUGCGCUCAGUACUGCAUCACCAUGCUUAGCCCAAAUUUUGUAAAACUGUGGAGGGCUCCCUAUAGCUUUUGGCAUGAUUGGUUGACGGUAGGAGGGGUCGGGAGGUCCAGUAUGAAAACAAAGUGACUUCCUUAACAACUUCCUUCACAACAGCUCUGCACUACUCCUUUAAGAGCGGGAAGUAUGAAGCCCUGCCUUCUACAGAGGCCGUAUCACCGUAAAUGCUGCACGGCCAAUGCAGACGGCAGAUUGACCAUGUAGCACCUUUACGUUGCACCACGGCCACCAUGGCAUUUCUCUUAAAAAAUAUAUAAGUUAUUCACUGUGACCUGCUGCUGCUGACUUUCAGGCAGUGAGCAGGCUGUUACCGAGGGAGUGGUGGGAAGGGGGAGGGCCUGGAGUUUGUGCGUGUGUGUUGAGAGCACUGGUUGAGAGAGCACUGCAGCAGGCAGCUGAGUCACGGAGAGAGAGCAGCCAGCGCACAAGUCGUGACAAUUUUUUGCCAGUUGUAUGUAGGCUAUUUAUAUUGUUCAUUAUGGAGACACAUAUUUCCAACUCUUUUUCUUUAAAACAUAUUAACGUGCUAGAACUGAUAUAAAGGCCACAAAGCACUGGAAAACGUCAUUCGGCACACUAGAGCGCUUUAAAAUACUUUCGCUCAGAGGUAGCUUAAUAAAGUAAACUGCAGUCUGUCGACUUGCCUAUUGAAAUAACAAGUCAAUCUCGCAAAUAAGCCAUUUAUAACGGUUUGUACUCUUAAGGAUCCGCCCCUUUUUUUCAAUUUUCGCCUAAAAUGACAUACCAAAAUCUGACUGCCUGUAGCUCAAGCCCUGAAGCAAGGAUAUGCAUAUUCUUGGUACCAUUUAAAAGGAAACACUUUUAAGUUUGUGGAAAUGUAUAAGGAAUGUAGGACAAUAUAACACAACAGAUAUGGUAAAAGAUAAUACAAAGAGAAAAAAAACUGUUCUUUGUAUUUUUUUGUACCAUCAUUUUGAAAUGCAAGAGAAAGGCCAGAAUGUAUUAUUCCAGCCCAGGUGCAAUUUAGAUUUUGGCCUCUAGGUGGCAGCAGUGUACGUGCAAAGUUUUAGACUGAUCCAAUGAACCAUUGUAAUUCUGUUCAAUAUUUUGAACCAAAUGUGCCUAAUUUGUUUAUUAAUAACUUUUCCUGUUCACAAUUGUGCACUUUCCUCAAACAAUAGCAUGGUAUUCUUUCACCGUAAUAGCUACUGUAAAUUGGACAGUGCAGUUAGAUUAACAAGAAUUUAAGCUUUCUGCCAAUAUCAGAAAUGUCUAUGUCCUGGGAAAUGUUCUUGCUACUUACAACCUCAUGCAAAUCGCAUUAGGCUACGUUAGCUCAACCAUCCCGUGGAAGGGACACCGAUCCCGAAGAAGUAAAAAAUGAACAUCUGGCACAUAAUAAUGGCACAAUUGCCAGAAAAUAGCUUAACAUUUGUUUUUUGAAGUGUUUCUUGCACGCGAUUUCGAGAUUCUCUGUCCAACUUUCAAAACAUGUAUGUUUACUGCUCUAAUUACUUUGGUAACCCAUUUAUAAUAUCAAUUAGGCACCUCAGGAGUUUGUGGUAGGCCUAUAUGGUCAAUAUAUAGUGCAUUCAGAAUAUAUUCAGACCUCUUGUAUUUUUCCACAUUUUGUUACGUUACAGCCUUAUUCAAAAAAAUAUUUUAAAAAAAUCCCUCAUCUAUCUACACACAAUACCCCAUAAAGCAAAAACAGGUUUUUAGAAAUGUUUGCAAAUGUAUAUAUAUUUUUUUCACUAAAAUAUUAUAUUUACUUAAGUAUUCAGACCUUUUACUCAGUACUUUGUUGAAGCAUCUUUGGCAGCGAUUACAGCCUUGAGUCUUCUUGGGUAUGACGCUACAAGCUUGGCACACCUGUAUUUAGGGCGUUUCUCCCAUUCUUCUCUGCAGGUCCUCUCAAGCUCUGUCAGGUUGGAUGGGGAGCGUCACUGCACAACUAUUAUCAGGUCUCUCCAGAGAUGUUCGAUCGGGUUCAAUUCCGGGCUCUGAUUGGGCCACUCCUGCCUUGUCUUGGGGUCGUUGUCCUGUUGGAAGGUGAACCUUUUCCCCAGUUUGAGGUCCUGAACACUGGAGCAGGUUUUCAUCAAGGAUCUCUCUGUACUUUGCUCUGUUCAUUUUCCCCUCGAUCCUGACUAGUCUCCCAGUCCCUGGCACUGAAAAACAUCUCCACAGCAUGAUGCUGCCACCACCAUGCUUCACCGUAAGGACGGUGCCAGGUUUCCUCCAGAUGUGACGCUUGGCAUUCAGUCCAAAGAGUUCAAUCUUGGCUUCAUCUGACCAGAUAAUCUUGUUUCUCAUGGUCUGAAUCCUUUAGGUGCUGUCAUGCUUUUUACUGAGGAGUGGCUUCCGUCUGGCCUUUCUACCAUAAAGGCCUGAUUGGUGGAGUGCUGCAGAGAUGGUUGUCCUUCUGGAAGUUUCUCCCAUCUCCACAGAGGAACUCUGGAGCUCUGUGAGAGUGACCAUCGGGCUCUUGGUCACCUCCCUGAGCAAGGCCCUUCUCCCCCGAUUGCUCAGUUUUGCCAGGCUGACAGCUCUAGGAAGACUCUUGGUGGUUCCAACCUUCUUCCAUUUAGGUAUGAUGGAGGCCAGUGUGUUCUUGGGGAACUUCAAUGCUGCAGACAUUUUUGGUACCCUUUCCCAGAUCUGGGCCUCUACACAAUCCUGUCUCGGGGCUCAAUUUCUUCAACCUCGUGGCUUCGUUUUUGCUCUGUAACGUAGCAAAAUGUGGGAAAAGGGAAGGAGUCUGAAUACUUUCCGAAUGCACUGUUCCACGGCUAAGGGCUGUGUCCUAAGAACAACACUUAGCCAUGGUAUAUUGGCCAUAUACCACACCUCCUCAGACCUUGUUGCUUAAUCAUAGCAGUCAAAACAAGUUAACUCGACAUUCAUUGACGGAAAAUUAUCUGGUGAGUUAAGGGCAAAUUAUAUUUUCUCUUGUAACAUAUUUUUAAGCUCGCAAUCAUUACUAUUUUGAUGGAAAACCGAAUUUUGCUUCUUAGCCUACGUCGUUACAAAUGACUUCGAAUUUCCUUCUUAAAAUGCUUGACAACCUUAUGGGAAAAGGGUUCAUCAAAUAAAUGUGGCAGCUCCUCUCUUGCUGCAAACACAAAAUGUUGGGCUAGUUUUCAGGCCUCGUGAGCGGGUUUUGAUAGAUCAUUGGGCUAGAAAUUUCAACUAGACCUGGCAACCCUGAGUAGGAGGUACCUUUGAAAGUGAAGUUAACCUAUUGCAGUUUCGUCUUUGUCGGACCUAAAUCUUUGUACGGCCUUGUCUCUAGUCUUGACAAAUAUGUAGAAUUUGAGCUGUGACAUUUGAGUUAUUAUUUUUGUCCCUAGUGUUGUGUUAUGUGUAUUUUGAAUGAAUAAAUAUGAUGUUUUAGUAAAUUGAAGUGAGACAAAAAGUGCAUUUAGUAGCAGAGAGGUUUCCAAACAAGCUCACCUGAAACAGAAAAUGUCAGUAUUUAUGAAUUUCUUCAUGGUAAGAGAGGCCUACUCGCAAGUGGCAACAAGUCUGUCAUUUACAUGCAUUUCAUCUAUCGUCAAUAUUUAACCUUCAUCCACAGGUGUGUGUUUAUUACAUCCAUAGGUGUGUGCUGUCUGGCACUGGUCAAGUAGCCAUUGACUUCAGACUUUGAACUGUGACCCUGAAGCUGUACUCCUGAGGUUCUCCAGGAUGGCAGGGUGAGGGGCUGACACGAUGGUGCAUGAUGGAGGGGACACAAUAUCAGAUGUCAGUUUUCCAUUUGGAGAGGGGGUGUCUGGCGGAGGAAGAAGUAGUAUCUCUGUGUCUGAUGAGGGAGAGGAGGCUUUCUAUGUGCCUGAAAGGAGACCCUCCCUGGACAAUGGCCUGUGACCCAUGUACACGGCGCAUAUUAUUGCCCACAAUAAUGUUUCCUGUUUGUCCAAGUCUUGAUCCUUUCAUCAUCCAUCCUCAAUCAUUGAUAUUUGAUGUGUGUUUAGUAGGCAUGAUGUGAAAAAGGCUCGAUCAUUGUCCAUGUGAUGUUCUAUGUACAGAUGUUCUAUGUACAGAGUCCAGCAGCAAAGAACAGAGUCUUACUCCAGCUGCUACUCUUUGGACAGUGAUGACUGUGAGACCAGAACCAGGAAGUCUCAACGUUUCCUGCAGUGGAACUUCCUCCAAGACCAGAGCUGAUCAAAAACCCAGAUGAGAAGAGGCACCCUGCCCUGACUGUAGACUUCACCUUCAAGGCCAUCAGAAAGACACUGGAGAAGCUGGGGAAGGAUGAUCUGAGGAAGUUUAAGAUCAUGCUGUGGAAGCGUUACCCAGAGUUGUUCAGUGCUCCUCCCCAGGGCAUGGACAUGGUGACUUGGUGGACAGGCUGCUGGAGUGUUAUGACCUAGAGGUGGCCCUGCAGCUCACCAAGGCCCUGUCGAAGGACAUGGGCCUCAAGCGCCUGGCUGACUUCCUCAGGGACAUUUGCAAAAGAGUGUGUUCCAGUUCCCGCUAAUAUCCAGCAACUUCGCACAGCCAUCGAAGAGGAGAGGGACAACAUUCCACAGGCCACAAUCAACAGCCUGAUCAACUCUAUGCAAAGGAGAU
RNAcentral lists this long non-coding RNA (4821 nucleotides) under Salmo salar (Atlantic salmon). RNAcentral's name for it is "lncRNA (ENSSSAG00000110338.1)". The record is from RNAcentral. Lineage: Eukaryota; Metazoa; Chordata; Actinopteri; Salmoniformes; Salmonidae.